GACGAACGCUGGCGGCGUGCUUAACACAUGCAAGUCGAGCGGUAAGGCCCUUUCGGGGGUACACGAGCGGCGAGCGGGUGAGUAACACGUGGGUGACCUGCCCUCAGCUCUGGGAUAAGCCUGGGAAACUGGGUCUAAUACUGGAUAUGACUCCACGGUGCAUGUCGUGGGGUGGAAAGCCUUGUGCGGCUGAGGAUGGGCCCGCGGCCUAUCAGCUUGUUGGUGGGGUGAUGGCCUACCAAGGCGACGACGGGUAGCCGGCCUGAGAGGGCGACCGGCCACACUGGGACUGAGACACGGCCCAGACUCCUACGGGAGGCAGCAGUGGGGAAUCUUGCGCAAUGGGCGAAAGCCUGACGCAGCGACGCCGCGUGAGGGAUGACGGCCU
This 388-nucleotide ribosomal RNA is filed under the name uncultured bacterium. RNAcentral describes it as "bacterial SSU rRNA". It matches the Rfam family "Bacterial small subunit ribosomal RNA", at positions 28 to 417 of the family's 1533-position model. The record is from RNAcentral.